Molecule: long non-coding RNA, 286 nt
Filed under: Cyanistes caeruleus (blue tit)
Lineage: Eukaryota; Metazoa; Chordata; Aves; Passeriformes; Paridae
Description: lncRNA (ENSCCEG00000014962.1)
Source: RNAcentral
UAGGCUGGCUCUCUUCGACAGUUAUUCUGCUCCAUCUCCUUUACCUCAGGACAGAUAAUGACCACUCCACAUAGUCCCAUAUUCAAUAGAACUGAACCUUGAAGCAUCAUUGCUGAGGGAGUCACCCAUCUACAGAGAGGUCUGAUGCUAGACUAGCACAACUCACAAACAUUGCCAUUUGCCUUGUGUGACUUGGCAGCAGGGGCUGGAAGUGGUGAAGAAGAGCUGGGCUGGGUUAGUGCCAACCUGCUACUGCAGGCUCUUCAUCAACACGCGCAAAGGGAAC